RNAcentral lists this ribosomal RNA (270 nucleotides) under uncultured bacterium. RNAcentral describes it as "partial 16S ribosomal RNA". It matches the Rfam family "Bacterial small subunit ribosomal RNA", at positions 30 to 307 of the family's 1533-position model. The record is from RNAcentral.
AUUGAACGCUGGCGGCAUGCCUUACACAUGCAAGUCGAACGGUAACAGGUUAAGCUGACGAGUGGCGAACGGGUGAGUAAUAUAUCGGAACGUGCCCAGUCGUGGGGGAUAACUGCUCGAAAGAGCAGCUAAUACCGCAUACGACCUGAGGGUGAAAGCGGGGGACCGUAAGGCCUCGCGCGAUUGGAGCGGCCGAUAUCAGAUUAGCUAGUUGGUGGGGUAAAAGCCUACCAAGGCGACGAUCUGUAGCUGGUCUGAGAGGACGACCAG